ACUACUCCGCCAAAAACCACACUCACUGC
This 29-nucleotide small RNA is filed under the name Bombyx mori (domestic silkworm). RNAcentral describes it as "ovarian small RNA-11643". The record is from RNAcentral. Lineage: Eukaryota; Metazoa; Arthropoda; Insecta; Lepidoptera; Bombycidae.